AUCAUUAAAGAUUAUGAAUGAAUAGAUUACUGGGGGAAUCGUCUGAACAAGGCCUGCGCUUAAUUGCGCGGCCAGUUCUUGAUUCUCUGCUAUCAGUUUUCUAUUUCUCAUCCUAAACACAAUGGAGUUUUUUCUCUAUGAACUACUUCCCUGGAGAGCUCGUCUCUCCAGUGGACAUAAACACAAACAAUAUUUUGUAUUAUGAAAAACUAUUAUACUAUAAAAUUUAAUAUUCAAAACUUUCAACAACGGAUCUCUUGGUUCUCGCAUCGAUGAAGAACGCAGCGAAUUGCGAUAUGUAUUGUGAAUUGCAGAUUUUCGUGAAUCAUCAAAUCUUUGAACGCACAUUGCGCCCUCUGGUAUUCCAGGGGGCAUGCCUGUUUGAGCGUCAUUUCUCUCUCAAACCUUUGGGUUUGGUAGUGAGUGAUACUCGUCUCGGGUUAACUUGAAAGUGGCUAGCCGUUGCCAUCUGCGUGAGCAGGGCUGCGUGUCAAGUCUAUGGACUCGACUCUUGCACAUCUACGUCUUAGGUUUGCGCCAAUUCGUGGUAAGCUUGGGUCAUAGAGACUCAUAGGUGUUAUAAAGACUCGCUGGUGUUUGUCUCCUUGAGGCAUACGGCUUUAACCAAAACUCUCAAAGUUUGACCUCAAAUCAGGUAGGAGUACCCGCUGAACUUAA
RNAcentral lists this ribosomal RNA (678 nucleotides) under Kluyveromyces sp. RNAcentral's name for it is "eukaryotic LSU rRNA". The stretch from base 238 to 391 matches the Rfam family "5.8S ribosomal RNA". Lineage: Eukaryota; Fungi; Ascomycota; Saccharomycetes; Saccharomycetales; Saccharomycetaceae. The record is from RNAcentral.